RNAcentral lists this ribosomal RNA (253 nucleotides) under uncultured bacterium. Its description in RNAcentral is "partial 16S ribosomal RNA". It matches the Rfam family "Bacterial small subunit ribosomal RNA", at positions 524 to 776 of the family's 1533-position model. The record is from RNAcentral.
UACGUAGGGGGCAAGCGUUAUCCGGAUUUACUGGGUGUAAAGGGGGCGCAGACGGCGAUGCAAGCCAGGAGUGAAAGCCCGGGGCCCAACCCCGGGACUGCUCUUGGAACUGCGUGGCUGGAGUGCAGGAGGGGCAGGCGGAAUUCCUGGUGUAGCGGUGAAAUGCGUAGAUAUUAGGAGGAACACCAGUGGCGAAGGCGGCCUGCUGGACUGCAACUGACGUUGAGGCUCGAAGGCGUGGGGAGCAAACAGG